GACGAACGCUGGCGGCGUGCUUAACACAUGCAAGUCGAGCGGUAAGGCCCUUUCGGGGGUACACGAGCGGCGAACGGGUGAGUAACACGUGGGUGACCUGCCCUCAGCUCUGGGAUAAGCCUGGGAAACCGGGUCUAAUACCGGAUAUGACUCCAUGACGCAUGUUGUGGGGUGGAAAGCCUUGUGCGGCUGAGGAUGGGCCCGCGGCCUAUCAGCUUGUUGGUGGGGUGAUGGCCUACCAAGGCGACGACGGGUAGCCGGCCUGAGAGGGCGACCGGCCACACUGGGACUGAGACACGGCCCAGACUCCUACGGGAGGCAGCAGGUGGGGAAUCUUGCGACAAGUGGGACGAAAGCCUGACGCAGCGACGCCGCGU
This 377-nucleotide ribosomal RNA is filed under the name uncultured bacterium. RNAcentral describes it as "bacterial SSU rRNA". It matches the Rfam family "Bacterial small subunit ribosomal RNA", at positions 28 to 402 of the family's 1533-position model. The record is from RNAcentral.